UACGGGAGGAGCAAGCGUUGUUCGGAUUUACUGGGCGUAAAGGGCGCGUAGGCGGCCACCGCAAGUCGGUUGUGAAAUCUCCGGGCUUAACCCGGAAAGGUCAAUCGAUACUGCGGGGCUAGAGUGCAGAAGGGGCAACUGGAAUUCUCGGUGUAGCGGUGAAAUGCGUAGAUAUCGAGAGGAACACCUGCGGCGAAGGCGGGUUGCUGGGCUGACACUGACGCUGAAGCGCGAAAGCUAGGGGAGCGAACGGG
RNAcentral lists this ribosomal RNA (254 nucleotides) under uncultured bacterium. Its description in RNAcentral is "partial 16S ribosomal RNA". It matches the Rfam family "Bacterial small subunit ribosomal RNA", at positions 524 to 776 of the family's 1533-position model. The record is from RNAcentral.